UGCUCAUCUGUUAAGGUCGUCUUCCUCCUAAGCAGAGGUCGCGCGUUCGAAUCGCGCCGGAAUCACCA
RNAcentral lists this transfer RNA (68 nucleotides) under Desulfotalea psychrophila LSv54. RNAcentral's name for it is "tRNA-Arg (CCT) (tRNA-Arg-CCT-2-1)". Lineage: Bacteria; Pseudomonadati; Thermodesulfobacteriota; Desulfobulbia; Desulfobulbales; Desulfocapsaceae. The record is from RNAcentral.